UUUAUGGAGAGUUUGAUCCUGGCUCAGGAUGAACGCUGGCGGCGUGCCUAAUACAUGCAAGUCGAGCGAACGGACGAGAAGCUUGCUUCUCUGAUGUUAGCGGCGGACGGGUGAGUAACACGUGGAUAACCUACCUAUAAGACUGGGAUAACUUCGGGAAACCGGAGCUAAUACCGGAUAAUAUUUUGAACCGCAUGGUUCAAAAGUAAAAGACGGUCUUGCUGUCACUUAUAGAUGGAUCCGCGCUGCAUUAGCUAGUUGGUAAGGUAACGGCUUACCAAGGCAACGAUGCAUAGCCGACCUGAGAGGGUGAUCGGCCACACUGGAACUGAGACACGGUCCAGACUCCUACGGGAGGCAGCAGUAGGGAAUCUUCCGCAAUGGGCGAAAGCCUGACAGAGCAACGCCGCGUGAGUGAUGAAGGUCUUCGGAUCGUAAAACUCUGUUAUUAGGGAAGAACAUAUGUGUAAGUAACUGUGCACAUCUUGACGGUACCUAAUCAGAAAGCCACGGCUAACUACGUGCCAGCAGCCGCGGUAAUACGUAGGUGGCAAGCGUUAUCCGGAAUUAUUGGGCGUAAAGCGCGCGUAGGCGGUUUUUUAAGUCUGAUGUGAAAGCCCACGGCUCAACCGUGGAGGGUCAUUGGAAACUGGAAAACUUGAGUGCAGAAGAGGAAAGUGGAAUUCCAUGUGUAGCGGUGAAAUGCGCAGAGAUAUGGAGGAACACCAGUGGCGAAGGCGACUUUCUGGUCUGUAACUGACGCUGAUGUGCGAAAGCGUGGGGAUCAAACAGGAUUAGAUACCCUGGUAGUCCACGCCGUAAACGAUGAGUGCUAAGUGUUAGGGGGUUUCCGCCCCUUAGUGCUGCAGCUAACGCAUUAAGCACUCCGCCUGGGGAGUACGACCGCAAGGUUGAAACUCAAAGGAAUUGACGGGGACCCGCACAAGCGGUGGAGCAUGUGGUUUAAUUCGAAGCAACGCGAAGAACCUUACCAAAUCUUGACAUCCUUUGACAACUCUAGAGAUAGAGCCUUCCCCUUCGGGGGACAAAGUGACAGGUGGUGCAUGGUUGUCGUCAGCUCGUGUCGUGAGAUGUUGGGUUAAGUCCCGCAACGAGCGCAACCCUUAAGCUUAGUUGCCAUCAUUAAGUUGGGCACUCUAAGUUGACUGCCGGUGACAAACCGGAGGAAGGUGGGGAUGACGUCAAAUCAUCAUGCCCCUUAUGAUUUGGGCUACACACGUGCUACAAUGGACAAUACAAAGGGCAGCGAAACCGCGAGGUCAAGCAAAUCCCAUAAAGUUGUUCUCAGUUCGGAUUGUAGUCUGCAACUCGACUACAUGAAGCUGGAAUCGCUAGUAAUCGUAGAUCAGCAUGCUACGGUGAAUACGUUCCCGGGUCUUGUACACACCGCCCGUCACACCACGAGAGUUUGUAACACCCGAAGCCGGUGGAGUAACCUUUUAGGAGCUAGCCGUCGAAGGUGGGACAAAUGAUUGGGGUGAAGUCGUAACAAGGUAGCCGUAUCGGAAGGUGCGGCUGGAUCACCUCCUUUCU
RNAcentral lists this ribosomal RNA (1554 nucleotides) under Staphylococcus aureus. Its description in RNAcentral is "16S ribosomal RNA". It matches the Rfam family "Bacterial small subunit ribosomal RNA". The record is from RNAcentral. Lineage: Bacteria; Bacillati; Bacillota; Bacilli; Caryophanales; Staphylococcaceae.